Molecule: non-coding RNA, 30 nt
Filed under: Rattus norvegicus (Norway rat)
Lineage: Eukaryota; Metazoa; Chordata; Mammalia; Rodentia; Muridae
Source: RNAcentral
GGAAAAGAUAGGUGAUACCACUUUGACAGC